CACUGACGAGUUUGAUCAUGGACUCGAAGAUUGAACGCUGGCGGAAUGCUUUACACAGUGCAAGUCGAACGGUAGAGGGGGCAACCCUUGAGAGUGGCGAACGGGUGAGUAAUAUAUCGGAACGUGCCCAGUCGUGGGGGAUAACGUAGCGAAAGUUACGCUAAUACCGCAUACGAUCUAAGGAUGAAAGCGGGGGAUCGCAAGACCUCGCGCGAUUGGAGCGGCCGAUAUCAGAUUAGGUAGUUGGUGGGGUAAAGGCUCACCAAGCCAACGAUCUGUAGCUGGUCUGAGAGGACGACCAGCCACACUGGAACUGAGACACGGUCCAGACUCCUACGGGAGGCAGCAGUGGGGAAUUUUGGACAAUGGACGCAAGUCUGAUCCAGCCAUUCCGCGUGCAGGAUGAAGGCCCUCGGGUUGUAAACUGCUUUUGUACGGAACGAAAAGGUUUCUCUUAAUACGAGGAGCUCAUGACGGUACCGUAAGAAUAAGCACCGGCUAACUACGUG
This 509-nucleotide ribosomal RNA is filed under the name uncultured bacterium. RNAcentral describes it as "bacterial SSU rRNA". It matches the Rfam family "Bacterial small subunit ribosomal RNA", at positions 1 to 507 of the family's 1533-position model. The record is from RNAcentral.